AGUGCUUCUUUCUGUUUUUCAAUUCAAAAGGUGUUCUUAUGAGGAAUCUUAAAAAUGUGUUGAGGAUAAUUCCAGUGAUGCUCAUUUUAUUGAUGGAGGAUGCUCCUGCUGUUGGUCAAAGAAAUCUGUUUUUAUUUGUUUUGCUCUGAUGUAUGUAUUGCUCAUCAUAGAGCAAAUUAACCUUUCAUUUCAUUUGUUUUGUUUACUUGUCUAAAAUAAUUUUUAAGAAGGUCCUUUUGAAUAAUUGCAACGUUAGGUGAUAUGUAAGUGUAGAAGGUUCAUAUUUAUUUACUAUUGCAUUUGCAGGUAGUUUUCUGCAAAUAGUAUGAGUUGUCUUCUCCAUGUAGUUUUUUAUAGAGGUACGUGAAAUGCAGUGGAAGAAAAUCUCUUACUACAUGACAUGUCAGGUAAAGAUUCACUCUUUAACUGUGAGUGCUGAAAACAGCUAAAGAAGGGAAAUAUCUCACUGAUAGUUUUCAAUGGAUGCUCAACCUAACUUACCAACUUGUGGUGUGGUAUGUGUAAGUACAGUGAUCUUGAUGGUUCUGGGCCACUGGUGUGAGGAGAAAAAAGAAAAAAAAACAUAUAUAUGUGAUAUUUGCUUUAGUAGCCCUGAUUUGAAGGCAACUUGUCUGUGUUCAUAUCUGUGUGUUCCUCUUCCUGGCUUGCACGUUGGCAAUCCCUGCACACCUGAGGUGGCUGGCCGAUGGGGACACAGUGACGAGACCUAGUGACCUUUGUGGUUGUACGUCAGCCCUGCGCACGUGGGCUCUGGAGAUAUGGCUUCCUGGCACCCAGGCCCUGGGCUCUUCCCUAGAACUUCGGGGAAGUGCCUGGGAAUGUGGAUGGGAGGCCAUGCAGCAGGCUGCUCUGCCUACCCAGCUCCUGAGCCCCUGGGGAAGGACACUUGUAGAGAAGGGAUGUGUUUGGGAAUGGAAUCUCAUUUACUCCCACUGUCCUGACAGUCCACGUGUUCAUAACUGUGAAAAGCUGGCACGUACCAAGGAGUCCAUCACCAAGAGUGGGGAAAGGAGGAAGAGGAGGAGGAAGGGAGAGACAAAUGGAAGAAUGGAUGGAGAGAGGAGUGGACGGAGACCUGAAGAAUCCAGCCAGAGGCCUGGAGCCCACGGCAGUGUCUCCUACAAGUCCACAUCGAGGAUCUGCACCGGGAAGGCCAAAGGCCAGGGUGGAAGCCAGAAAGCCUGUGCCAUGGGGUGAAGGGUCUGCGCCACCAGGCUGAGGGAUCCGCACUGGAGCCAGGAAGCGACGCUCAUGGUGAAGACCAGAGCUCCCCUAAGGAGAACAGCAGCCCUCCCCAGGGACAGCGGAACAGCGGAACAGCAAGGCCCUGAGCUCCUCCUCCAAGAAGAACAGCCAAGUUCGCAUCAGGGAAACCACCCGUAGCAAGCUUCUCCGGGAAAAUCAACAGCCCUGGAUCUUCCCCUCUGGUUCUCUCUUUAUCCCGUUGGCAACAAUCCUCAGGUGGGUCCUCCAUGCCCAACCACGCUGACUCUGCUCAGCCGGGUGUCCUAAGCUGCCCGUUAGUUCGUCCAUCGCAGGACGUUUGGCCAGUGCAGAGUGAGCCCAUCUCAGACCCUUCACUGGGUUACAUUUGCAGAAAUCUUCAUUCCAGAGAUGUUCUCGUCCGUAGAAAGAGAAAUUCAGCAUUGUUUGACGGGUUUCUGGAGGUCAGGUUUUGGCCUGCUACUACACUCAAUAUAUAUAUCAAUUAGUUGUUUUACAUAUUAACAGGAUUACAUAUUUCCACAUCCAAUAGGCAAGAGGUUAAGAAGCAUGUGGUCAACAUCAAUAUUCUGCAGUUAUUAUCAGAAAGGCUGGACAGAAGCAGAGUUGGGUACCAAGUCGUUCCCAGUUACAGUGCCCACUGCGUGACUCAGUUUCUCUAAUUUACCCCUCAUGGCUACCAUCUCGCCUCCUUCGUAAGAAAUGAGAAAACAAGCCCAGAAUCCCCCAGCUGGUGAUGACAGGAAGUGACACUUCCACUGCACAGGAGCGUGAACUCACCUUUUUCAUAGUCAGUGUUUGGUACAAUGCCCAGACCCUACCAGCUACUCAGGAGGUACUUCUAGAAAGAAUAAGGACUCCAGGCCAGGCCAGUGGAAGCACAGACAGCUGUUUGUCUAGAUGUGUGGACUGGGGUCACCUGUUCUGAAAUCCACUUGCGAAGUGUUCCGGGUUGCAGCCCUCCGCCUGCUCACCCUGGACAACCCACUCCUCUCCACGUUCUGCUUAUUGAAAGCCACUGCAUAUUGAUGUAAAUUUUCUCUACUUUUGUGGAUGAAUUUUACAGUGCCUGAUAACCCCAAGCUGAAAAAAAGAAGAAAGGAGGUGAGCAGUGAGAUAGAGUCUGAGAGGAAGAAUGAGAGAAAAAAAGAAGGAAGCAGGAAACUUUUAACCUUGCUUGGUAUUUUAGGAGGAAUUCCAAAGGAGCUUGCUUUCACCAGAGGAAAUGCAUUCCGAAUCUGACUAACGUGGGUAUGGACCAAAUUUCUGUGAUAUUAGUCUGUGAAAACAGAAGUCUACUUCGAGAAAGAGAGAUGUUCAACUUGGCUCAAUUCAGAUCUUAUCUCUGUUGGUGCAACUUGCUCAUUCCCGUGAAACUUUGGCACACUUAGACGAGUCAAAAAUCUGCAUGAUUGAUCUGCUAACACAUCUGCACCAGUAAGCAACCUCAAACAUAAACGUGAAGGAUGUCAUGAGGAUGUGCUCUUAACUUCUUGGAAGAAAUGAGUUAGACAGAUGAGUGCAUAUAUGGAAAGCAUACAGGCAUUUGGCUCUGAUGUAAGGGAAUUGGUCAACCACUGCCUAGGGCAGUUUAAGCCAGUUCAAAAGUUCCUCCUCC
RNAcentral lists this long non-coding RNA (2863 nucleotides) under Heterocephalus glaber (naked mole-rat). RNAcentral's name for it is "lncRNA (ENSHGLG00000039597.1)". Lineage: Eukaryota; Metazoa; Chordata; Mammalia; Rodentia; Bathyergidae. The record is from RNAcentral.